Molecule: ribosomal RNA, 301 nt
Filed under: uncultured bacterium
Lineage: Bacteria
Description: partial 16S ribosomal RNA
Rfam family: Bacterial small subunit ribosomal RNA
Source: RNAcentral
CAGUCGCCACGGUAAUACGAGGGGGGCAAGCGUUGUUCGGAUUUAUUGGGCGUAAAGGGUGCGUAGGCGGUUUGGCAAGUCUUGUGUGAAAUCUUCGGGCUCAACCCGAAGCCUGCACGAGAAACUACCGGGCUUGAGUAUCGGAGAGGUGAGUGGAAUUUCCGGUGUAGCGGUGAAAUGCGUAGAUAUCGGAAGGAACACCUGUGGCGAAAGCGGCUCACUGGACAAUAACUGACGCUGAUGCACGAAAGCUAGGGGAGCAAACAGGAUUAGAUACCCCCGUAGUCCCUGUCUCUUAUAC